RNAcentral lists this ribosomal RNA (372 nucleotides) under Triticum aestivum (bread wheat). RNAcentral describes it as "partial small subunit ribosomal RNA". Lineage: Eukaryota; Viridiplantae; Streptophyta; Magnoliopsida; Poales; Poaceae. The record is from RNAcentral.
AUGGAAAGAAUGGCAAGCUCAUACUUCAAAGAGGUUUUUACUAAAGAUCCAACAUUGGAUCCGAAUGAGGUACUGGAUACUAUCUCCCCUAAAGUUUCGGUGGAGAUGAACGAGGCCUUAUGCAGAGCGUAUACGGAGGAGGAGAUAUCAAAUGCAUUGUUUCAGAUUGGCCCGUUGAAAGCCCCGGGAUGUGAUGGGUUCCCGGCAAGGUUUUACCAAUGGAACUGGGCCACUUUAAAGGUGGAAAUAGUGGCAGCAGUGCAGGAGUUCUUUUCCAGUGGUGUCAUGCCAGACGGUGUUAAUGACACGAGCAUUGUGCUAAUUCCCAAGGUGCCCCCAUCCAAGAGAGCUCAAGGAUUUCAGACCCAUUAG